CACAGCCCCCCUCAAUCUGAUUCCCUGCUAUGCCUGCCAUCACCACUGGCCAGUUUUACCACAUGCUUCUCAAGACCCAAGGCACAAUAGGCAUAAAGUUGUCCUGAAAAGGACAAGAGGAGUGUCAGAAGUAGGAAUGGCAGUUGAAGGAGCUUCGUCUGCCAGCAGAAAGCUGAAAUGACAGGAAGACAGAAUGUCUUGUCAAGGGUCACCCCAGGAGGAGGAGUAAAUUCCCCAAAAAGCGGAACAUAUUUUUAUGAUUUAAUUAAUACAAUUUCUCUCAAUGUGUCUGUUUAUCAUUUGAGCAUCCACAUGAUCAGACCUGACAUCUGCCUACAUUUUCUUGGUCGUCUUUGACUUCAGUUAAGAACCUUUUGCUCUUUGUUUUCCCCCAGCAGCACAGUAUAUUAAGUUUGGAACAAGACACACCUGAAAUCAAAUCCCUGCUCUGUGCUGGGUGAUCUUAGAGGCAGUCUUUUACCUCUUUCUACUUUAUUGUUCUCAUAGGAAAAGUGGAAAUGAGGCCUUUUACCCCAGGGUUGUUGAGAAGACAGAGGAGAAAAAGCACAUAAAAAUGCACCUUGUCGGGCGUGGGGCUCACACCUGUAAUCCCAGCACUUUGGGAGGCUGAGGCAGGUGUAUCGCUUGAGGCCAGGAGUUCAAGACCAGCCUGGCCAACAGGAAAAAUACAUUAAAAAUAAUGUCUCUAUUAAAAAUACAAAAAUUAGCCAGGUAUGGUGGUGCACGCCUGUAAUCCCAGCUACUCAGGAGGCUGAGGCAGAAGAAUCGCUUGAACCCAGGAAGCGAAAGCUGCAGUGAGUCGAGAUCGCAGCACUGGGCAGGCACAGUGGCUCACACCUGUAAUCCCAGUACUUUGGGAGGCUGAGGUGGGUGGAUCACAAGGUCAGGAGAUGGAGACCAUCCUGGCUAACACGAUGAAACUGUAUCUCUACUAAAAAUACAAAAACAAAAUAAGCUGGGCGUGGUGGCGGGCGCCUGUAGUCCCAGCUACCUGGGAGGCUGAGGCAGGAGAAUGGCAGGAACCCGGGAGGCAGAGCUUGCCGUCAGCCAAGAUUGCACUGCUGCACUCCAGCCUGGGCAAGAGAGCAAGACCCUGUCUCAAAAAAAAAAAAAAAAAAAAAAAAAGCAUUUUGCCUGGCACCCAGUAGAUCCUCAAUAAAGGUCAUGGCACUUCCUCUAUUUAUUUUGCUUCAUUUUACCCUGGCAUGCUAGAGAAGAUACUGAAACUAGUUGUUCACAGUCAUUACACUUGAAGCAGGAAGACCCCUUACCAAAAAUAACAUCUCCCUAGGGCAUUUCUAGGAACCAAAAUGGCAAAAACAUUUGCAUCUAUAAACAUGAGCAAUUACUCUUUUGGCAGAAAGACCAAGGAGUCCAAAAUUUGGUCCUCUAACUGAGGCCCCUACACCAUUUGAGUCAGCUGACUCAAUUACCCAGGGGUAUUUUUUUCUGGUGUUCAUAGUGUAUGAAUUUCUGUUCCCUGGCUGUCUCUUUGGUUGUCUCACUUUCUCCACCCCCUCUUCUUUCCCUUUUUCUUGACUCUCUUGAUACUGAACAGCUUUUUGUGUUCACUGCAAACAAAAGGGGUUAAUGACAGUGAUGAUGAAGUUGUC
Molecule: long non-coding RNA, 1634 nt
Filed under: Homo sapiens (human)
Lineage: Eukaryota; Metazoa; Chordata; Mammalia; Primates; Hominidae
Description: non-protein coding lnc-LRP5L-2:9
Source: RNAcentral